GAUGAACGCUGGCGGCGUGCUUAACACAUGCAAGUCGAACGAAGCACUUUCAAUUGAUUCUUCGGAAGAAAGAGAUUGUGACUGAGUGGCGGACGGGUGAGUAACGCGUGGGUAACCUGCCUCAUACAGGGGGAUAACAGUUAGAAAUGACUGCUAAUACCGCAUAAGCGCACAGUACCGCAUGGUACGGUGUGAAAAACUCCGGUGGUAUGAGAUGGACCCGCGUCUGAUUAGCUAGUUGGUGAGGUAACGGCCCACCAAGUCGACGAUGGGUAGCCGAACUGAGAGGUUGAACGGCCACAUUGGAACUGAGAUACGGUCCAGACUCCCUAGGGAGCAGCAGUGGGGAAUAUUGGGGCAAUGGCGAAAGCCUGACCCAGCGACG
This 385-nucleotide ribosomal RNA is filed under the name uncultured bacterium. RNAcentral's name for it is "bacterial SSU rRNA". It matches the Rfam family "Bacterial small subunit ribosomal RNA", at positions 28 to 396 of the family's 1533-position model. The record is from RNAcentral.